ACGGAAGGCAGCAGUGGGGAAUAUUGCACAAUGGGGGAAACCCUGAUGCAGCGACGCCGCGUGAGUGAAGAAGUUAUUCGUAAUGUAAAGCUCUAUCAGCAGGGAAGAAAAUGACGGUACCUGACUAAGGAGCCCCGGCUAACUACGUGCCAGCAGCCGCGGUAAUACGUAGGGGGCAAGCGUUAUCCGGAUUUACUGGGUGUAAAGGGAGCGUAGACGGCUUAGCAAGUCUGAUGUGAAAGGCAGGGGCUCAACUCCUGGACUGCAUUGGAAACUGUUAAGCUAGAGUGCCGGAGAGGUAAGCGGAAUUCCUAGUGUAGCGGUGAAAUGCGUAGAUAUUAGGAGGAACACCAGUGGCGAAGGCGGCUUACUGGACGGUAACUGACGUUGAGGCUCGAAAGCGUGGGGAGCAAACAGGAUUAGAUACCCUGGUA
This 434-nucleotide ribosomal RNA is filed under the name uncultured Lachnospiraceae bacterium. Its description in RNAcentral is "partial 16S ribosomal RNA". It matches the Rfam family "Bacterial small subunit ribosomal RNA", at positions 341 to 792 of the family's 1533-position model. Lineage: Bacteria; Bacillati; Bacillota; Clostridia; Lachnospirales; Lachnospiraceae. The record is from RNAcentral.